Caenorhabditis elegans is the source of this 78-nucleotide non-coding RNA. NCBI's taxonomy places the organism in Eukaryota, Metazoa, Nematoda, Chromadorea, Rhabditida, Rhabditidae. The record is from Ensembl.
CAGGCAAGUUUUGCUGUCGUCGUGAAACGCGCAACUAUGCGGAAAGGUGUUAUUAUAAUCACAAAAUAGUAUCAUCAU